UACGAAGGGUGCUAGCGUUGUUCGGAAUUAUUGGGCGUAAAGCGUGCGUAGGCGGUUUGGUAAGUCGACUGUGAAAGCCCAGAGCUUAACUUUGGAACUGCAUUCGAAACUACCAGGCUAGAGUAUGGCGGGGGAUAGUGGAAUUCUUAGUGUAGGGGUGAAAUCCGUAGAUAUUAAGAGGAACUCCAGUGGCGAAAGCGGCUAUCUACACCAUUACUGACGCUGAGGCACGAAAGCGUGGGGAGCAAACAGG
Molecule: ribosomal RNA, 253 nt
Filed under: uncultured bacterium
Lineage: Bacteria
Description: partial 16S ribosomal RNA
Rfam family: Bacterial small subunit ribosomal RNA
Source: RNAcentral